Canis lupus familiaris (dog) is the source of this 4673-nucleotide long non-coding RNA. RefSeq lists it as uncharacterized. The record is from RefSeq and is a predicted model, not a curated record. NCBI's taxonomy places the organism in Eukaryota, Metazoa, Chordata, Mammalia, Carnivora, Canidae. The transcript is spliced from 3 exons.
UCUCUGCCUCUCUCUUUCUAUGUGUAUCAUUCAUAAAUAAAUAGAUAAAUAAAUAAUAAAUAAAUAAAUAAAUAAAUAAAGAAUAAAUCUUAAAACAAAACAAAACUGUUUGUAGCCUCUGAUGGAGAACCACAUUUGCUCUGUAGCCCCCUCCUGCCCUGCCUCUGGGAUGAAGGGGCUCCUUUAUCUGAGCUCUGGCACCCACCCUGCACAUAUCCCCAGCUUCAGUUCUCACCAAGGCCUCAGGUCUGGUGGUGGCAUCUGGUGGGUUUCAGCCUAGAGCCUGUCACACAAAGACAAGGACAGAUGUGGGCAUUGCCAGAGGCCCGGGAGCUGAGGCAGCACUGUUCAUGGUGUCUCAGAUACCAAUCGUCAACUGGAGGGUAGAAAGAGACAUCGACCCUUCCCUCUUUACUACUGCCUUACUCACUCCCUCUCUCCUUGCAGUUUUCUAGCCCUUUGGAAUUGGGUGUGUGUAUGCAAGGCAGAAAACCCACAUACCCUGCCCCUGCCUUCAGCAGCCUACAGAACUGUGGCUACAAUGCGGAUAGCCUGGGACUCACUCAUAGCCUCGUCAUGCAGCCUCCUCUACCGCCUCAAAUAAAUCCUGUCCCUACAAAGCCUUAAAUCAUUUACUGCCACUGACCCAGAUUUGUAGAGUUCACAUUGGAAGAAUUUGGGGGGGAAAUAAAACUGUCAGGUUUUUCAAUCUCUGAAAGGAAGCUGCGAAUCUCUGUUGAACCACCAAGCAAAAACAUCUGAUGAAGGCAUGUUCACAGCGCUGUCUUCUUUUGGAAAAUAACUCAACAAUGUGUGUGAACGCUGGGUAACAGUGGAGUAACAAGGAUGACGACUCCUGAGACUUGAGUAUGUGAAACACGCCAGCAGCCACAGUAAUGAGAUCCCAGACUCCUAAGCCCUGGGCCGGCUUCUCCUGACUAUUAUGCCUGUGGCACCCAGCCCUGAGGCUGAAGACCAAGGUGUGCCCUGAAUGGUGGAGAGGACAGCGCUGCUUGGUGGCAGCGGAACUAGCAGGCUGUCUGCAGCCUGAGCCACCUCCUUUCUAGGGCUCAAGACCCCAAUCCCAAGAUCAAAAAGGGCAUCCAUCCAUACGUGGACAUUUGUGUGUGUGAGUGCCACUACUGUGCAAAUACAUGACUUUGUCCAGGAAGAAGAGGUAAGGAGUUCUGAUGGGAGGCUGGCUUUGGGGUAGACGGCAGGAGGUAGCAAGAAGAACACAGGGAAGGGAGAGGCCAGCGUCAGGGUACUCAAAGGUAGGAUGGAGCAAAGAGUGAGGGACCGUGGGGACAGCGGGAGGGGGAGGGACAGAACUGUUCUACCUGCUUCACAGGCUUGCAAGCCCAGCUAAUGGUCUGCACCAAGGUUCUAAAGCACACGGGAGCUGCUCCUAAACCGCAGAGAGUGUUCACACUUGAGUUCAAACCACGGCAACUGGGAUGACGGUUCACAUUAGCGUCCAAUAUAUUCCCCAAAGGACAUGUUAAAGGGUGUGAAAGUAGACCCAGGUGGUGGCCUCCACUGCUGAGUUGAAAUUUUUUAAGUAAAUCAAAAAUACCUUAAACGAAAACUUUCAAAGCCCCAGACCUUAAGAUGACAAGUGCUGCUUAUUUUUUUCCUUUGAAAAAUGCAUACAAAAAUACAGAUAAUGGUUAUAAAAUGUCAGCUGCAAUGGUUAUUUGCUGGAACACAGGGUCCACCACAGGAAUUGCAUCAUGAGAGCCUGAGUGCAACCAGGACAGGAAGGGGGGUGGGGGAGGAGGAAGAGCACUUGCAAGGCAGGAGCAGGAGGGCUGUGUCACUUGAGAUGCGAAAGAAAAUUGACAGUGAGGUUGUAAAAAUGAUGCAGCUUCAGAACCAAGUUGUUGGCCACAGCGCAAUUUACAUGGAAGGUCAAAUUCAUGCCUUUAAUUUUCUUUCAUGUAGGAUUUAAAAAAUAAAAGAAGCGGAAUUCCCUCUCUCUCCAGCCCCUCCCCUCCUUUUUUGGUGUUAAUAGAGAAAUAUCAAUUAACUCUCACUCUCAGGUCUUAAAAGCCUUUGCAUCAUUUUUAUUUUCAGCAAAAGUGAAUCAUCUUUUACAAAACCAUGGCGUCCUGGCAAAGCUGCAUCACUGGGAUGGCUGAAAAUACAGUGCCCACGGUUAAAACAAACAAAAGAUUGGUUUGAGGAGUCGAGAGGUGGCUCAGUGUACCCGUUACCUAAGGAAGUCUAAAAUAAUCCUGCCCCCAGAUCAGAGGCUCUGCCUGCAGUGCCCACCGGAGCAGUCUCCCCCAGCAUUCCUGCCGCGGCCCUCCCUGAGGCCACCCACUCCUCCACCCACACCUAAGAGGCCAGGAGUAGUCUCCGGGAAUCCCCAGGCCUUCCUGCAGCAGAGGUGGCCUCCACCCGUCUGUCCCAGGGCCGCGAGCAGACUGAGGCCGCACGUCUGCCUACCUUCUGGCCAAGGAAGAGGCUCUUGGUGGAGAGGACUGUGAAGCCGUCGGCCGGUGUUCCCUCAGUGGUGCUAUCCGCGCUGGCUGCCUUGCUGACUUCCCCCUGCUUCUUCUUGCACAAAGAUAAGAGUCAUCAUGAGGCUACACAAGCAGAGACCAAAGGGAUCUGGGCUUUUCUAACAGGGAGGUGGCUCCUAGGCCCUGCCCAUGGUCCUGGAGGAAAUAGGAAACUAAAGCACAACCAGUUUUUGGCCUUUUUCAAAGUGGGAGCCGCAAGCUCUGUGAAGUCCGGGAGUUCGAUGAAGAGCAUUAGUUGUAUUUUUAUCACUUUGUAAUACAUAAAAAAUAUAUAAUAUUUUUACAAAAUAAAAUUUUUGUGUAUUAAAAAUAUACCUGAAGGCAAAAUUUUACUGCAGAGUGACAAUCUACAACAUUUUCAUAAAUUUAGACCAACUAAAUAUCUCUUAAUUAGGGUCUUUGCUUUCUAGAUGUCUGUUCACUAUUCAAGUUUGAGGAGGAAAAGCAAACUUCCUGAUCACAAGUUCUCAAAGAGCCAAAAAUCAGAUGAAACUCCAUAACCCUCUAACCUUCCCCCAGCCCAGGAGUUAGACGGUACCCAGCUGUUCUUCAAGAAAACCAGGCUUGGAGAAAGAAGGAUCCCUAUGGUGGCUGUUGGCAAGCCCUGCUGCCCCUGGGGACUCCCCACCCUCCUGGUGGGAUGGUUAUCAGCGUGCUCAUUGGCCUCUUCCCGGUACCAACCAGAUUCAAGUAUGUAUACCCUGGGGUUCCCAAGAGUCCUGCAAGGUAUGUUGUCCAGAGAGUUUUAAUUUCCAAUCCCCAACUUUUAAUAUACUUUUCCUGAAACUGAUCUACCCUGAGUGAUGGUCUCAUGCCACAUAUCCUUGAACUACCACUCGUGUCCCACUUCUCAUUACUGGGAUGUCACUCCCCCUCUCCCACCCCGGGAAUAGGGAUACAGGGCUUUCUCAGUCUUUCAUGCAUUUCUGUUAAGUAUAAGGACGGUAUGAGAAAUGGGUAUUUUGGCUCAUGUGGGGAUGUUCUGUAUUCACAUAUAUCAUAGACUAAAGAUAGUGGAAACAAUGGUAGUUUGUGUUUAGACACUUCCCCACUUCCCCUUUUCUCUUCCCUCCAGUUUUUAUCAAAAAGUACAUCACUCUUGAGGGAUGUUCCAGUGGGAGCAAACCAAGAAAGCAGGGGUGAGAGGUAUUCCAGAUGGCCACGUCUUCUAAAGGAAGGCUCUGGACCACCAACUCAAGGCAAGGUCUACAUGUCUGUUUAGGGAUUCAAAUUCAUUAACAUUAACAUUUUUGCUUACAUUGAAAAAAAAAUUCUAGUUUUACUGAGUGCUUUAACAAGCAGGACUACUUUUACAAUUAAGUUCAAUGGCAAACCUGGAACAUUUUCUGUAAAUUAAAUGAGCCAAAUCUGAAGCUUCAAGGUUUUGAUAUAAGUGCUAAGACAAAAAGCAUUUUAUCAAGAAACAGGGCAUUAGCAAAGAUAGGUUAAAAUGGUCACUAUUAUGGUUUUCCUAAUUCUUUCAGUAUACCAGAUAUGCCAAGUGAAAGAGAACCCCAAAAGUGAAAGGUAUAACCUACAGUUACAUGGCAAGUCUUAGUAAGCCUUUUUUUAUAUACUUUCCAGGAAACAAGAAAGGGAAAGGCUGGGUGACAAAUCCUUUCACUACUCAGAUGUUUCUAAUUCUGUGCUUUCAACAAAAUGGGAGAAAUAUCAAAUUUACUUAACACCUGAGAGAUCAUUAUAAAAACAGAUUGAUGGACUUAAUAGUAAUGUACCAAUGCCAGUUUCUUAGUUGUGACAAAUGUACCAGGGUGAUGGAAGAUGUUACAAUGGGGAAACUGGUGAGGAGUAUUCAGGAACUCUCUUACUAUCUCUAACUUUGUCAAUCUAAAACAAUUGUAAAAUAAAGCAUGUAUUAAAACAAACUGAUGACAGAUUACUAAGUGACUAUUGGAACUUAAGAGUUCAGAGGAUUGAAUGAUGUUGCUUUAACAAAAUCCUUUCCAUUCCCACUUAUUUUUUGUGACCAAGACAUUCCAGGUACUUUUACCUGUAAAUAUACAAAAACAGGAUGCUGAACCCGGUUUCAUUUCAGAAAUAAGUAACUACUUUACCAGUUAUUGCAAAAACUGUAUCUCAAUAUAUCCUAUUGUAAGAAUACAGUUCCAAGACUAUUGUUUUCCU